Molecule: long non-coding RNA, 685 nt
Filed under: Cimex lectularius (bed bug)
Lineage: Eukaryota; Metazoa; Arthropoda; Insecta; Hemiptera; Cimicidae
Description: uncharacterized LOC106664968, transcript variant X2
Source: RNAcentral
UGCAUGUGUGUUUCGUUUACGUGCAAGACAGGUUUUUAAAUAAACCUUAUCGCUCAGUUCAUGAUGGAUCUAAUAAAAAGAUAAUUCAUAAAACGAGGGUGGUAGACGUUUUGUCCCAAGGAGCUGCAGGAGAAGUGACACAGAAGAAAGGCAAAGGUUAUGUGAGAUAAAGAAGAUGAUAGUGAUUGGCUUCGUGAUCUACACCUUAGUCGUCUUCAGCCGCAAUCAAUGAAGGCUUAAAAAACGAGUAUGAAAAUAAAAUUCCGGCUGAAAAAUUCACAUUUGUUUCUUUUCUCUUUGUAAAAAUAAUAUAAAAAAAUACGGUCACAUGUUUUAUUAUCAAAGCAAGACAAAGUAGCCGGAUCAUGCGAAAAUAGCAUACACAACCAGCCGAAUGGACAGGGGGGACGACAACGCCGAAACGGAGGAACAUCUCGUCGUGUGUGCAAGCGGUUCGGAAAACGAUCCGAUUUCCAGCCGGAACCGAGGGAGAAACAUGGUGGGAACGGCAGUUUCUUUAUGAGAAUAAACGGGAUCGUUCCAGGACAGGAAUGUGUGGGUUGUGUAGAGGAUGGCCCUAAGAUUCUUCCUUGAGAAGAUUGCCUUACCCGAUCGAAGUUUUACUUUACGUCUUGGAAUACAACUGUGCGGCAUUCCUACCAUCAAAGCGGUAACGAUGACGCCU